AGGAUUCGGCGCCAGCGGGUCCAUCAGAGCCACCCACUCAAGCAUUUUCUCAUGGGUCUGCCGAGCCAGCAGUGUCUUCCCAUAUGACUACCGAGCCACAGGAUUCGGCGCCAGUGGGUCCACAGGAGCUGCCCAUUCCGGAGCAUUCUCAUCAGCCUGCCGAGGCAGAGGUGUCUUCUCAUGAGACUACCGAGGCGCAUCAUCUCGUCCAGGAGACUACCUCAUAUUCACCAUCACACCCAUCUCAGGAGGCUACAGACCCAUCUCAGGAGCCUUCUCAGGCGCCCGUUGACAC
This is a long non-coding RNA of Lycium barbarum (goji berry), 295 nucleotides long. RefSeq lists it as uncharacterized. The record is from RefSeq and is a predicted model, not a curated record. The transcript has 3 exons. NCBI's taxonomy places the organism in Eukaryota, Viridiplantae, Streptophyta, Magnoliopsida, Solanales, Solanaceae.